Molecule: ribosomal RNA, 253 nt
Filed under: uncultured bacterium
Lineage: Bacteria
Description: partial 16S ribosomal RNA
Rfam family: Bacterial small subunit ribosomal RNA
Source: RNAcentral
UACGUAGGGUGCGAGCGUUGUCCGGAAUUAUUGGGCGUAAAGGGCUCGUAGGCGGUUUGUCACGUCGGGAGUGAAAACUCGGGGCUUAACUCCGAGCCUGCUUCCGAUACGGGCUGACUAGAGGUAUGCAGGGGAGAACGGAAUUCCUGGUGUAGCGGUGAAAUGCGUAGAGAUCGGGAGGAACACCAGAGGCGAAGGCGGCUCACUGGACAGGUACUGACACUCAACUACGAAAGCGUGGGGAGCAAACAGG